UCGAACGGCAGCACGGGAGCUUGCUCCUGGUGGCGAGUGGCGAACGGGUGAGUAAAGCAUCGGAACGUACCUUGUCGAGGGGGAUAACGCAGCGAAAGUUGUGCUAAUACCGCAUACGUCCUGAGGGAGAAAGCGGGGGACCGCAAGGCCUCGCGCGAUGAGAGCGGCCGAUGUCAGAUUAGCUAGUUGGUGAGGUAAAGGCUCACCAAGGCGACGAUCUGUAGCGGGUCUGAGAGGAUGAUCCGCCACACUGGAACUGAGACACGGUCCAGACUCCUACGGGAGGCAGCAGUGGGGAAUUUUGGACAAUGGGCGCAAGCCUGAUCCAGCCAUGCCGCGUGAGUGAAGAAGGCCUUCGGGUUGUAAAGCUCUUUCAGACGGAAAGAAAUCGGGCGCGUGAAUAGCGUGCCUGGAUGACGGUACUGUCAGAAGAAGCACCGGCUAACUACGUGCCAGCAGCCGCGGUAAU
This 469-nucleotide ribosomal RNA is filed under the name uncultured bacterium. RNAcentral's name for it is "bacterial SSU rRNA". It matches the Rfam family "Bacterial small subunit ribosomal RNA", at positions 62 to 524 of the family's 1533-position model. The record is from RNAcentral.